Molecule: small nuclear RNA, 108 nt
Organism: Nycticebus coucang (slow loris)
Lineage: Eukaryota; Metazoa; Chordata; Mammalia; Primates; Lorisidae
Source: RefSeq, a predicted model, not a curated record
CUGUUAAGGUUCGGCAGCACAUAUACUAAGACUGGAAUGAUACAGAGAAGAUUAGCACGGCCCCUGCAUAAGGACGACAUGCAAAUUUGUGAAGCGUUCUCUAUUUAA